UACGAAGGGGGCAAGCGUUGUUCGGAAUUACUGGGCGUAAAGGGCGCGUAGGCGGCUUAUCAAGUCAGGCGUGAAAUUCCCGGGCUCAACCUGGGGGCUGCGCUUGAUACUGAUUGGCUUGAAUGCGGGAGAGGAUAGUGGAAUUCCCAGUGUAGAGGUGAAAUUCGUAGAUAUUGGGAAGAACACCGGUGGCGAAGGCGGCUAUCUGGCCCGUAAUUGACGCUGAGGUGCGAAAGCGUGGGGAGCAAACAGG
This 253-nucleotide ribosomal RNA is filed under the name uncultured bacterium. Its description in RNAcentral is "partial 16S ribosomal RNA". It matches the Rfam family "Bacterial small subunit ribosomal RNA", at positions 524 to 776 of the family's 1533-position model. The record is from RNAcentral.